UAUGUGUGUGCCAGCCGCCGCGAUAAUACGGAGGAUGCGAGCGUUAUCCGGAUUUAUUGGGUUUAAAGGGAGCGCAGACGGGAGAUUAAGUCAGUUGUGAAAGUUUGCGGCUCAACCGUAAAAUUGCAGUUGAUACUGGUUUCCUUGAGUGCAGUUGAGGCAGGCGGAAUUCGUGGUGUAGCGGUGAAAUGCUUAGAUAUCACGAAGAACCCCGAUUGCGAAGGCAGCUUGCUAAACUGUAACUGACGUUCAUGCUCGAAAGUGUGGGUAUCAAACAGG
This 279-nucleotide ribosomal RNA is filed under the name Phocaeicola coprocola DSM 17136. RNAcentral's name for it is "partial 16S ribosomal RNA". It matches the Rfam family "Bacterial small subunit ribosomal RNA", at positions 498 to 776 of the family's 1533-position model. The record is from RNAcentral. Lineage: Bacteria; Pseudomonadati; Bacteroidota; Bacteroidia; Bacteroidales; Bacteroidaceae.